UGCCUAAUACAUGCAAGUCGGACGAGACAGUGGGCCAACCCAUAAGUAAAGUGGCAAACGGGUGAGUAAUACAUAGGUAACCUACCUCCAAGAUGGGGAUACCCUUCCGAAAGGAGGGCUAAUACCGAAUGAGACCACGGCUACACAUGUCGCUGUGGCCAAAGGUGGCCUCUACUUGUAAGCUAUUGCUUGGAGAUGGGCUUAUGCACCAUCAGCUAGUUGGUGAGGUAACGGCUCACCAAGGCUAAGAUGUCUAGCGGGUGUGAGAGCACGACCCGCGCCACUGGCACUGAGACACUGCCCAGACUCCUACGGGAGGCUCCAGUCGAGGAUCUUCGGCAAUGGGCGAAAGCCUGCCCGAGGACGCCGCGUGUGCGAUGAAGGCCUUCGGGUUGUAAAGCAC
RNAcentral lists this ribosomal RNA (403 nucleotides) under uncultured organism. Its description in RNAcentral is "bacterial SSU rRNA". It matches the Rfam family "Bacterial small subunit ribosomal RNA", at positions 43 to 433 of the family's 1533-position model. The record is from RNAcentral.